RNAcentral lists this ribosomal RNA (502 nucleotides) under uncultured Acidovorax sp. RNAcentral's name for it is "partial 16S ribosomal RNA". Lineage: Bacteria; Pseudomonadati; Pseudomonadota; Betaproteobacteria; Burkholderiales; Comamonadaceae. The record is from RNAcentral.
CACGUAGUUAGCCGGUGCUUAUUCUUACGGUACCGUCAUGACCUCCCUUUAUUAGAAAGAGGCUUUUCGUUCCGUACAAAAGCAGUUUACAACCCGAAGGCCUUCAUCCUGCACGCGGCAUGGCUGGAUCAGGCUUGCGCCCAUUGUCCAAAAUUCCCCACUGCUGCCUCCCGUAGGAGUCUGGGCCGUGUCUCAGUCCCAGUGUGGCUGGUCGUCCUCUCAGACCAGCUACAGAUCGUAGGCUUGGUAAGCCUUUACCCCACCAACUACCUAAUCUGCCAUCGGCCGCUCCGUUCGCGCAAGGCCUUGCGGUCCCCUGCUUUCAUCCAUAGAUCUUAUGCGGUAUUAGCAAAGCUUUCGCCUCGUUAUCCCCCACGAUCGGGCACGUUCCGAUGUAUUACUCACCCGUUCGCCACUCGUCAGCAUCCGAAGACCUGUUACCGUUCGACUUGCAUGUGUAAGGCAUGCCGCCAGCGUUCAAUCUGAGCCAGGAUCAAACUCU